AUUUUACUGCAGUUAGUAUAGUUGUCCAAAAAUUAUGAUUCUAGUGUCCCAAGAAAGAUUUUUAAGUCUAGAAUCCAAUAAAACAAGAAUUAACUAAUUCGGAGUUCUGUGGAGAGAGUUAUGAAUAAAACACUGACCAAAGGUCAAAGCUGAAAAUACUAGAACGUGAGUAAAUUUACGAGUUUUAACAAUUUUACUGCAGUUAGUAUAGUUGUCCAAAAAUUAUGAUUCUGGUGUCUCAAGAAAGAUGUUUGAGCCUAGAAUACAAUAAAACAAGAAUUAACUAAUUCGGAGUUAUGUAGAGAUAGUUAUGAAUAAAACAAUAAGCAAAGGUCAAAGCUGAAUAUACUAGAGCCUGAGUGAAAUUUAUGAUUCUUAAUAAUUUUACUGCAGUUAAACCUCUUGUCCAAAAAUUUUGAGUUUGGUGUCCAGAGAAAGAGUUUUGAGUCUAGAAUUCAAUAAAACAAGAAUCAAUGCAUUCGGAGUUCUGUAGAGGAAAUUAUGAAUAAAACACUGAGCAAAGGUUGUUCUGGGGUUUUUGACCCUUCCGGAUCCAUGGGUGAGGGUAUCCAAGCCAUUUGAAUUACUUAAAUAUUGAUAAUUAAUAUUAUAAAGUUAUUUGUGUUAAUAAGUGAUGUUUUGUGAAAGUAUGUAAUGUUUGAGUUAUUUUUAUAACAUAACUAAAGGAUGUUUGUGCNACAUGGUUAAGAGUAUGAAGUAUUGCGUUGUGAAUUAUGGUUGGAAAGCUUGUAUGUACAAAGUAUGNUUAUUGGACGUAAUUCCAUGAUCCUCAAGGGAGGUUACAUGGUGGUGCCCUGUAGUUUGUCGUGAUUGAUCGUAUGAAUGGCCGGAGUUCAGGAUGGGGUUUACCUUGACAUUCUAAUGACCAUCCAUGCUCAAUUAGAGAGUGAUGAUUCAUGUGGUGAGAAUAGGAGGAGGU
Molecule: long non-coding RNA, 940 nt
Filed under: Vigna radiata
Lineage: Eukaryota; Viridiplantae; Streptophyta; Magnoliopsida; Fabales; Fabaceae
Description: long non-coding RNA (VRAD_LNC000932)
Source: RNAcentral